GACGAACGCUGGCGGCGUGCUUAACACAUGCAAGUCGAACGAUGAAGCCAGCUUGCUGGUGGAUUAGUGGCGAACGGGUGAGUAACACGUGGGUGAUCUGCCCCAAACUUUGGGAUAAGCCUGGGAAACUGGGUCUAAUACCGAAUAUGACCACGGGAUGCAUGUCCUGUGGUGGAAAGCUCCGGCGGUUUGGGAUGGACUCGCGGCCUAUCAGCUUGUUGGUGAGGUAAUGGCUCACCAAGGCGUCGACGGGUAGCCGGCCUGAGAGGGUGACCGGCCACACUGGGACUGAGACACGGCCCAGACUCCUACGGGAGGCAGCAGUGGGGAAUAUUGCACAAUGGGCGAAAGCCUGAUGCAGCAACGCCGCGUGCGGGAUGACGGCCUUCGGGUUGUAAACCGCUUUCAGGAGGGACGAAGCCACUCGGGUUAAUAGCCCAGAGGGUGACGGUACCUCCAGAAGAAGCCCCGGCUAACUACGUGC
This 484-nucleotide ribosomal RNA is filed under the name uncultured bacterium. RNAcentral describes it as "bacterial SSU rRNA". It matches the Rfam family "Bacterial small subunit ribosomal RNA", at positions 28 to 508 of the family's 1533-position model. The record is from RNAcentral.